GCGCCCGUAGCUCAGUUUGGAUAGAGCGCCGGACUUCGAAUCCGUAGGUCGCAGGUUCGAGUCCUGCCGGGCGCG
This 75-nucleotide transfer RNA is filed under the name Spirochaetaceae bacterium. RNAcentral's name for it is "tRNA-Arg". It matches the Rfam family "tRNA". From Rfam's summary of the family: Transfer RNA (tRNA) molecules are approximately 80 nucleotides in length. Their secondary structure includes four short double-helical elements and three loops (D, anti-codon, and T loops). Lineage: Bacteria; Pseudomonadati; Spirochaetota; Spirochaetia; Spirochaetales; Spirochaetaceae. The record is from RNAcentral.